AAUGGUAGAUUUAGAGUUUUCACACAACAUGGGGUACAUGGGGUGUUAACUUAACAAGUUCUGAAUUGUAGGCAUAACAAAAUCACUUCAAACAUGAAGUUCGGCAUUGUUAACAUCAUCAACUUUUGUAAUUGGAACAGGCUCUACAAACCUAUCAGGUCUCGUGUAACAAUGCAAUUUAACCAUGUGGAAAUGAUGUGUAUUCUUCGAUCAUCUUCCAAACAGAGGUAUCGUCGGUGAAUUCAAUCGUACUCAUCCUGCCACUGGUUUUUAACCUCAAUCACCCACUUUACCUGAAGCUCGGC
This 305-nucleotide long non-coding RNA is filed under the name Hordeum vulgare. Its description in RNAcentral is "long non-coding RNA (HVUL_LNC018662)". Lineage: Eukaryota; Viridiplantae; Streptophyta; Magnoliopsida; Poales; Poaceae. The record is from RNAcentral.